Molecule: non-coding RNA, 23 nt
Filed under: Arabidopsis thaliana (thale cress)
Lineage: Eukaryota; Viridiplantae; Streptophyta; Magnoliopsida; Brassicales; Brassicaceae
Source: RNAcentral
GAUCUGCUGAGUGCUGAGUUUGA